Molecule: ribosomal RNA, 254 nt
Filed under: uncultured bacterium
Lineage: Bacteria
Description: partial 16S ribosomal RNA
Rfam family: Bacterial small subunit ribosomal RNA
Source: RNAcentral
UACGGAGGGUGCAAGCGUUUGUCCGGAUUUAUUGGGCGUAAAGAGCGUGUAGGCGGCCUUACAGGUCAGCUGUGAAAACUCGAGGCUCAACCUCGAGACGUCGGUUGAAACCGUAUGGCUAGAGUCCGGAAGAGGAGAGUGGAAUUCCCGGUGUAGCGGUGAAAUGCGCAGAUAUCAGGAGGAACACCGAUGGCGAAGGCAGGUCUCUGGGCAUUAACUGACGCUGAGGAGCGAAAGCAUGGGGAGCGAACAGG